UGCUUUCCAACGCCUCUAACCCUCCAUCUCUCUCUAAACUCAUCGCCUUCUCUUUCAGAGAGUAAACAUCACAAAGUCGAUCUGUUUCCUGGCACAUGAUCGGCUUCAAUAAACUAUCACCUUUUUCAUGUAGUUGUAUUGCAUCUAAAGUAUGUCGAGGUUGGAUUUUGGUUAGUACUUCUUCGCAAGUUUUCGUUGUUUCUUUGUCCGAUUGGGCUAACCGGUGGCUCUCUGUCCGAUAACAAUGGGUGUCCGACGGACUUGGUGACGCCGACGGUAACCAUCACCAAGGUGGUUGAAGGCUUCAUUUUUUGUUUUCCCUUAUCUGAGCCCUAAUUUUUUUGUUUUCUUUUAAUUUAUUUGAGGAUUCUAUUGACCGAAUGGUUGAUGAAGAAUCAACAAUUGUGUGUUGUUUCGUUUGUAGAUGGCAUUGACGUCUGUUUUAAAUCCUCUAAAUCACAAAACGAUCCUCUGUGCUUGAAAUUUCUAUUUUGC
RNAcentral lists this long non-coding RNA (495 nucleotides) under Lactuca sativa (garden lettuce). RNAcentral's name for it is "long non-coding RNA (LSAT_LNC005735)". The record is from RNAcentral. Lineage: Eukaryota; Viridiplantae; Streptophyta; Magnoliopsida; Asterales; Asteraceae.